Long non-coding RNA from Papaver somniferum (opium poppy), 409 nucleotides. RefSeq lists it as uncharacterized. Lineage: Eukaryota; Viridiplantae; Streptophyta; Magnoliopsida; Ranunculales; Papaveraceae. The transcript is spliced from 2 exons. The record is from RefSeq and is a predicted model, not a curated record.
GUUUCAUUCUCCUAUUUCUCUUUCUCCCUUUCUACAUCUCAACGCCUCCCCUCCCCGCCCCCCAACUACUACUUGCCUACUUCACCAUCUUCCUUCUUCUACUACUCAGUAAAUCGAGCUUAAGGGCUGGCAUGAAUUAUAUGUGCAGCUUCGGGACAGAACUUCAAAGUUACUUCUACAGUCCUACUGAAGACGAAGUUUGAAAAGUUUGAAGUCACGGAUCUAAUGAACGUGGAGUAAUUUAUGCCAAAGAGUGGUACUGGUUUGAACAAUCAUCUUGUUGGCGUAUUAGUAAUUUGUAUGACAGUUUCUUUUUAAAGAAAUUUUCAUUGUAAUCCAAAUUGUAAAGUAUAAAUAUUAGUGUAAUUUUCUAAUUGUGGAUUACCUAAACUGAUUUUUUUUUUUUGAA